Molecule: long non-coding RNA, 659 nt
Organism: Carya illinoinensis
Lineage: Eukaryota; Viridiplantae; Streptophyta; Magnoliopsida; Fagales; Juglandaceae
Exons: 3
Source: RefSeq, a predicted model, not a curated record
UGUGCAUCCGGACCGGUUUUUUUCCGGAUCCGGUCCGGAAAUCCGGAUCCGGGUUAAUCCGGGCGGUUAUCCGCCCGGAUUACACCCGGGCGGUUGUUAUAAAUCCGGAUCCGGUUACGGAUCCGGUUUUAUAACCCGGUAAUCCGUAACCGGGUUAUACACCCGGUUACUAUGUUUUUUCCCCGAAACGACACCGUUUCUCCUUACCAUUUAGAUUUUCCGGAAACGUAACCCGGUCUCUCACUCGUCUGAAUCUCUCACUCGUCUUCUCUCACGCUCGUCUCUCAAGAACCCUAGGGCCCGUGGCGAUUGCAUAGCAAAUCUUCUCUCUGUGUAAUCUAGCUAAGGCCAAACUGAUACAAAGAGAUGGUACUUUCAGACUUUCUGGUGGACCAAUGUGACCAUACAAAUCUCAUUGUGGUCUAUAAUCGAUGAAGUUGCAUCUAAGCCCAAUGGUCUUUCUGUCCUUAGCAUGACAUUCAAGACUUGCAAUCCCCUAAACUCAGUUGAUGUGCUCAAGAACUAUUUGGUGUCGAUGUAUAUCUGAAACAGAUGUAGGUUGUGAAUGCAUUCUGAGUUGUGAAUGGAUGCACACCCCUAGAUGGCAGGUUGGAUCAGCUACCUGUUGAUGUGAAGAGCAUUGUAAUUUUUUUUUUUUU